RNAcentral lists this non-coding RNA (331 nucleotides) under Natronolimnohabitans innermongolicus JCM 12255. RNAcentral describes it as "Natronolimnobius innermongolicus JCM 12255 Archaeal large subunit ribosomal RNA". It matches the Rfam family "Archaeal large subunit ribosomal RNA", at positions 1 to 351 of the family's 2987-position model. The record is from Rfam by way of RNAcentral. Lineage: Archaea; Methanobacteriati; Methanobacteriota; Halobacteria; Halobacteriales; Natrialbaceae.
UGAACGUGGCUACUGUGCCAGCUGGUGGAUCGCUCGGCUUGAGAGCUGAAGACGGACGUGCCAAGCUGCGAUAAGCCCAAGGGACCCGCACGGAGGGUAAGAACUUGGGAUCUCCGAAUGGGAAUCCCCACCGCAAUUGCUUCGCGCAAUGGGGAACGUCGGGAAUUGAAACAUCUUAGUACCGACAGGAAAAGAAGACGUAAUGUGAUGUCGUUAGUAAGGGCGACUGAACGCGAUACAGUCCAAACCGAAGCCUCUACGGGCAAUGUGGUGUUCGGACUGACGAUCACUCCGCGAACCGCGACACGAAGUCUCUUGGAACAGAGUACGA